Molecule: ribosomal RNA, 371 nt
Filed under: uncultured bacterium
Lineage: Bacteria
Description: bacterial SSU rRNA
Rfam family: Bacterial small subunit ribosomal RNA
Source: RNAcentral
GUAGGGGGCAAGCGUUGUCCGGAUUUAUUGGGCGUAAAGAGCGUGUAGGCGGCUAAAUAGGUCCGUUGUGAAAACUCGAGGCUCAACCUCGAGAUGCCGAUGGAAACCAUUUGGCUAGAGUCCGGAAGAGGAGAGUGGAAUUCCCGGUGUAGCGGUGAAAUGCGCAGAUAUCGGGAAGAACACCCGUGGCUAAGGCGGCUCUCUAGUACGGUACUGACGCUGAGACGCGAAAGCGUGGGGAGCGAACAGGAUUAGAUACCCUGGUAGUCCACGCCGUAAACGAUGGGUGCUUGGUGUCGGGGGUAUCGACCCCUCCGGUGCCGAAGCUAACGCAUUAAGCACCCCGCCUGGGGAGUACGGUCGCAAGGCUG